This 586-nucleotide ribosomal RNA is filed under the name Bacillus pumilus. RNAcentral describes it as "bacterial SSU rRNA". It matches the Rfam family "Bacterial small subunit ribosomal RNA", at positions 45 to 617 of the family's 1533-position model. Lineage: Bacteria; Bacillati; Bacillota; Bacilli; Caryophanales; Bacillaceae. The record is from RNAcentral.
UGCUAUACAUGCAGUCGAGCGGACAGAAGGGAGCUUGCUCCCGGAUGUUAGCGGCGGACGGGUGAGUAACACGUGGGUAACCUGCCUGUAAGACUGGGAUAACUCCGGGAAACCGGAGCUAAUACCGGAUAGUUCCUUGAACCGCAUGGUUCAAGGAUGAAAGACGGUUUCGGCUGUCACUUACAGAUGGACCCGCGGCGCAUUAGCUAGUUGGUGGGGUAAUGGCUCACCAAGGCGACGAUGCGUAGCCGACCUGAGAGGGUGAUCGGCCACACUGGGACUGAGACACGGCCCAGACUCCUACGGGAGGCAGCAGUAGGGAAUCUUCCGCAAUGGACGAAAGUCUGACGGAGCAACGCCGCGUGAGUGAUGAAGGUUUUCGGAUCGUAAAGCUCUGUUGUUAGGGAAGAACAAGUGCGAGAGUAACUGCUCGCACCUUGACGGUACCUAACCAGAAAGCCACGGCUAACUACGUGCCAGCAGCCGCGGUAAUACGUAGGUGGCAAGCGUUGUCCGGAAUUAUUGGGCGUAAAGGGCUCGCAGGCGGUUUCUUAAGUCUGAUGUGAAAGCCCCCGGCUCAACCGGG